This 68-nucleotide transfer RNA is filed under the name Atrina pectinata. RNAcentral describes it as "tRNA-Ile". The record is from RNAcentral. Lineage: Eukaryota; Metazoa; Mollusca; Bivalvia; Pterioida; Pinnidae.
AACAUCGUGCUAGAGAUUAUAGGUUACCUUGAUGUGGUAUAGUACGGGUUAUUUUGGCCCCGAUGUUU